RNAcentral lists this ribosomal RNA (2931 nucleotides) under Shigella sonnei. RNAcentral's name for it is "23S ribosomal RNA". It matches the Rfam family "Bacterial large subunit ribosomal RNA". Lineage: Bacteria; Pseudomonadati; Pseudomonadota; Gammaproteobacteria; Enterobacterales; Enterobacteriaceae. The record is from RNAcentral.
GGGUUGUGAGGUUAAGCGACUAAGUGUACACGGUGGAUGCCCUGGCAGUCAGAGGCGAUGAAGGACGUGCUAAUCUGCGAUAAGCGUCGGUAAGGUGAUAUGAACCGUUAUAACCGGCGAUUUCCGAAUGGGGAAACCCAGUGUGUUUCGACACACUAUCAUUAACUGAAUCCAUAGGUUAAUGAGGCGAACCGGGGGAACUGAAACAUCUAAGUACCCCGAGGAAAAGAAAUCAACCGAGAUUCCCCCAGUAGCGGCGAGCGAACGGGGAGGAGCCCAGAGCCUGAAUCAGUGUGUGUGUUAGUGGAAGCGUCUGGAAAGGCGCGCGAUACAGGGUGACAGCCCCGUACACAAAAAUACACAUAUUGUGAGCUCGAUGAGUAGGGCGGGACACGUGGUAUCCUGUCUGAAUAUGGGGGGACCAUCCUCCAAGGCUAAAUACUCCUGACUGACCGAUAGUGAACCAGUACCGUGAGGGAAAGGCGAAAAGAACCCCGGCGAGGGGAGUGAAAAAGAACCUGAAACCGUGUACGUACAAGCAGUGGGAGCACGCUUAGGCGUGUGACUGCGUACCUUUUGUAUAAUGGGUCAGCGACUUAUAUUCUGUAGCAAGGUUAACCGAAUAGGGGAGCCGAAGGGAAACCGAGUCUUAACUGGGCGUUAAGUUGCAGGGUAUAGACCCGAAACCCGGUGAUCUAGCCAUGGGCAGGUUGAAGGUUGGGUAACACUAACUGGAGGACCGAACCGACUAAUGUUGAAAAAUUAGCGGAUGACUUGUGGCUGGGGGUGAAAGGCCAAUCAAACCGGGAGAUAGCUGGUUCUCCCCGAAAGCUAUUUAGGUAGCGCCUCGUGAAUUCAUCUCCGGGGGUAGAGCACUGUUUCGGCAAGGGGGUCAUCCCGACUUACCAACCCGAUGCAAACUGCGAAUACCGGAGAAUGUUAUCACGGGAGACACACGGCGGGUGCUAACGUCCGUCGUGAAGAGGGAAACAACCCAGACCGCCAGCUAAGGUCCCAAAGUCAUGGUUAAGUGGGAAACGAUGUGGGAAGGCCCAGACAGCCAGGAUGUUGGCUUAGAAGCAGCCAUCAUUUAAAGAAAGCGUAAUAGCUCACUGGUCGAGUCGGCCUGCGCGGAAGAUGUAACGGGGCUAAACCAUGCACCGAAGCUGCGGCAGCGACGCUUAUGCGUUGUUGGGUAGGGGAGCGUUCUGUAAGCCUGCGAAGGUGUGCUGUGAGGCAUGCUGGAGGUAUCAGAAGUGCGAAUGCUGACAUAAGUAACGAUAAAGCGGGUGAAAAGCCCGCUCGCCGGAAGACCAAGGGUUCCUGUCCAACGUUAAUCGGGGCAGGGUGAGUCGACCCCUAAGACGAGGCCGAAAGGCGUAGUCGAUGGGAAACAGGUUAAUAUUCCUGUACUUGGUGUUACUGCGAAGGGGGGACGGAGAAGGCUAUGUUGGCCGGGCGACGGUUGUCCCGGUUUAAGCGUGUAGGCUGGUUUUCCAGGCAAAUCCGGAAAAUCAAGGCUGAGGCGUGAUGACGAGGCACUACGGUGCUGAAGCAACAAAUGCCCUGCUUCCAGGAAAAGCCUCUAAGCAUCAGGUAACAUCAAAUCGUACCCCAAACCGACACAGGUGGUCAGGUAGAGAAUACCAAGGCGCUUGAGAGAACUCGGGUGAAGGAACUAGGCAAAAUGGUGCCGUAACUUCGGGAGAAGGCACGCUGAUAUGUAGGUGAAGUCCCUUGCGGAUGGAGCUGAAAUCAGUCGAAGAUACCAGCUGGCUGCAACUGUUUAUUAAAAACACAGCACUGUGCAAACACGAAAGUGGACGUAUACGGUGUGACGCCUGCCCGGUGCCGGAAGGUUAAUUGAUGGGGUCAGCGCAAGCGAAGCUCUUGAUCGAAGCCCCGGUAAACGGCGGCCGUAACUAUAACGGUCCUAAGGUAGCGAAAUUCCUUGUCGGGUAAGUUCCGACCUGCACGAAUGGCGUAAUGAUGGCCAGGCUGUCUCCACCCGAGACUCAGUGAAAUUGAACUCGCUGUGAAGAUGCAGUGUACCCGCGGCAAGACGGAAAGACCCCGUGAACCUUUACUAUAGCUUGACACUGAACAUUGAGCCUUGAUGUGUAGGAUAGGUGGGAGGCUUUGAAGUGUGGACGCCAGUCUGCAUGGAGCCGGCCUUGAAAUACCACCCUUUAAUGUUUGAUGUUCUAACGUGGACCCGUGAUCCGGGUUGCGGACAGUGUCUGGUGGGUAGUUUGACUGGGGCGGUCUCCUCCUAAAGAGUAACGGAGGAGCACGAAGGUUGGCUAAUCCUGGUCGGACAUCAGGAGGUUAGUGCAAUGGCAUAAGCCAGCUUGACUGCGAGCGUGACGGCGCGAGCAGGUGCGAAAGCAGGUCAUAGUGAUCCGGUGGUUCUGAAUGGAAGGGCCAUCGCUCAACGGAUAAAAGGUACUCCGGGGAUAACAGGCUGAUACCGCCCAAGAGUUCAUAUCGACGGCGGUGUUUGGCACCUCGAUGUCGGCUCAUCACAUCCUGGGGCUGAAGUAGGUCCCAAGGGUAUGGCUGUUCGCCAUUUAAAGUGGUACGCGAGCUGGGUUUAGAACGUCGUGAGACAGUUCGGUCCCUAUCUGCCGUGGGCGCUGGAGAACUGAGGGGGGCUGCUCCUAGUACGAGAGGACCGGAGUGGACGCAUCACUGGUGUUCGGGUUGUCAUGCCAAUGGCACUGCCCGGUAGCUAAAUGCGGAAGAGAUAAGUGCUGAAAGCAUCUAAGCACGAAACUUGCCCCGAGAUGAGUUCUCCCUGACCCUUUAAGGGUCCUGAAGGAACGUUGAAGACGACGACGUUGAUAGGCCGGGUGUGUAAGCGCAGCGAUGCGUUGAGCUAACCGGUACUAAUGAACCGUGAGGCUUAACCUUACAACGCCGAAGGUGUUU